AGAUGAGGCAGCGCAGGGGCUGCUGCUUCGCCACCUGCUGCUUCGCCACGAAAGAGUUCCCGUGCCGUGGGAGCAAGUCUGGGACCUCUGGUCGGAACGGAGAGUCGCAGCUGUGUGUUAGGGCUAGGAUGGCUCCGGGAUGCGCGUGAGGCAAGUGACCUUGCGUGUAAAGGGAUACAUGAUCCCUUAAUUCAGGCUCAGGCUGAAGAACUGACCCACUUACGACAGAAGAUACAGGAAGGGAGAGGUGUCUGCUACCUUUUCACCCAGCAUGUGAAGAACACAGUCAAGUCUUUUGAGGGCCUUCUCAGGAACACUGACAUUGCCUACUACCAGAGACAGAGAUUCUGUGAGCAAAUGGUACAAGGAAGCCAGCUGACAGAGAUCCUUGUCAGAAAACUUGCCACAGAAGAUGAGAUCCAGAGCCAGUGGCAGCACCUGAAGGAGACCCUUUUCAUCAACAACUGCCUGUGAGAAAAGCUAGAACGUCAUCACAGCAGCUUUGAUGAAGAAAAUGGUAGGAGAGGCCCAAGUCAGCCUGCUUCUGGCAAUAUGUAUUUUUCUAAAGGAUGCACCUCUAACCUCUACAGGCAAAUCAUAGAUUCCAUUGUCCAGCUGUAUAAUGAAAACAGAGUUCUCAGAGAAGAAUACCGGAGACUCCCCCGACUUGCCUGAAUCAAAUUUCCAGAG
Molecule: long non-coding RNA, 690 nt
Filed under: Homo sapiens (human)
Lineage: Eukaryota; Metazoa; Chordata; Mammalia; Primates; Hominidae
Description: long intergenic non-protein coding RNA 869
Source: RNAcentral